Molecule: ribosomal RNA, 254 nt
Filed under: uncultured prokaryote
Description: partial 16S ribosomal RNA
Rfam family: Bacterial small subunit ribosomal RNA
Source: RNAcentral
ACAGAGGUGCCAAGCGUUACCCGGAUUUAUUGGGCGUAAAGGGCGCGUAGGCGGCCACCGCAAGUCGACUGUGAAAUCUCCGGGCUUAACCCGGAAAGGUCAGCCGAUACUGCGGGGCUAGAGUGCAGAAGGGGCAACUGGAAUUCUCGGUGUAGCGGUGAAAUGCGUAGAUAUCGAGAGGAACACCUGCGGCGAAGGCGGGUUGCUGGGCUGACACUGACGCUGAGGCGCGAAAGCGUGGGGAGCAAACAGGA